This is an RNA transcript of Phoenix dactylifera (date palm), 2154 nucleotides long. It is a transcript of the gene named NAD(P)-binding Rossmann-fold superfamily protein, with no coding region annotated. Lineage: Eukaryota; Viridiplantae; Streptophyta; Magnoliopsida; Arecales; Arecaceae. The record is from RefSeq and is a predicted model, not a curated record.
UAUUGCGACGACUUGCAAUCAAGAGUGGAGGGAUAAGGGGCGGCGAUGGGAAUCGAGCCGGGAAUGAAGGUGGUGGUGACGGGGGCGUCCGGGUACCUGGGCGGCAGGCUCUGCCGCCGGCUGGUGGCGGAGGGCCACGCCGUGCGGGCGUUCGUGCGGCGGAGCAGCGAUCUCAGCUCCCUCCCUCCCUCCCUCGAACUCGCUUACGGCGAUGUCACCGACCUCCCCUCCCUCAUCGCCGCCUGCUCCGGCUGCGACCUCCUCUUCCACACCGCUGCCCUCGUCGAACCCUGGCUCCCCGAUCCAUCUCGAUUCUUCGCCGUCAACGUCGGAGGGUUGAAGAAUGUGCUGCAAGCUUUCAGAGAGACCGAGACGCUGCAGAGGAUAAUAUAUACGUCGUCAUUUUUCGCUCUCGGUCCUACUGAUGGAUAUGUUGCAGACGAGAAGCAGAUGCAUCAGGGGAAGGUAUUCUGCACAGAAUAUGAAAAAUCCAAGGCUAUGGCUGAUAGGAUUGCAUUGCAGGCUGCAGCAGAUGGGAUACCAGUUGUUCUUCUCUAUCCAGGAGUCAUUUAUGGUCCUGGAAAAAUUACAACUGGAAAUAUUGUUGCACGAAUCCUGAUUGAACGUUUCAAUGGACGCUUACCUGGUUAUAUAGGCAGUGGGAGUGAUAGGACAUCAUUUUGCCAUGUUGAAGAUGUUGUCAGCGGACAUAUAGCAGCAAUGCAUAAGGGAAGAGUAGGUGAAAGGUACCUUCUGGCUGGAGAAAAUGCAUCUUUCAAACAUGUUUUUGACAUAGCUGCGCUCAUCACGAAAAGAAAGAGGCCGUGGUUUCACAUCCCUCUAUGGGUGAUAGAAAUCUAUGGAUGGAUAUCAGUUUUCUUUUCUCGAAUCACAGGAAAACUCCCACUUAUCAGUUAUCCAACUGUGCGAGUAUUGGGACAUCAAUGGGCAUAUUCCUGUGAGAAGGCCAAAGAAGAGUUAGGUUAUAGUCCUAGAAGCUUGAAUGAGGGUUUGACCGAGAUCCUCCUAUGGCUCAAGAGCUUGGGAUUGAUACAAUACUAAAUCUGGUGUUCUGAGUCAGAUAGGAGAACCAGCAGUCAUGGUAAGGCCAUGAGGGAAAUAUGAGAAAGUAGUUGCAGGGCUUCGUCGGUGUCCAUCGGGACUGUGGAAGAGCUUAAGCUGCCUCUAAGAGGUAUGAGCGGAUAUCAUUCCAUGCAGAAAGAACAAUCUGCUGAGAACAUGAUGACAAACAUGAGAACCAGGAAGAGGAACCAUUCACCCUUACGCUAGGAUUGGCAUUUGGCACUUGUGAAGCAUGUGACUGGUUCAUGGAUGCCUAUGGUUUCAUCACUGGUAUCAUAUAUAACUGAUAGGAGUAUUUGAUGAACGGUAGGAUGUCAUGAUUCUUAUAGGCGAGCUUGAUGCCUCAGUUGCGGCUUGGUUCGAAAGAAUUAGAGAUGGAAGAUACGUGAAGCUAGAAGCAGUGGCGUCAGCUCUAAGAGUACAUGAAGUGGGUUUUUUUCUGUCUUAGAAUAAUGUUACAUGAUUAAGGAUUCAGAUCAUAUGCACAUCCCGCCCUUCUACGUUCUUUGGAACACAAACGUCAGAAAGGAUGUGGCCCAGAACAACACCAAGAGCUUUGAUGCUGUGUACAUUCUGCAUAAAUGAUCGGUUGGAUCGAUUCUGACUCUUCUCAAGCUCUCAUUUGAGCUUAUUGCUGUCUUACAGAGACUGCAAACAGGUUCGGAUAUUUUGUUGGAAUGAGGAGGCUAUCUCAACUUUUAUCCUGAGGAACGUCAACGGUGGAGCAUGACAGAUGGCUUCAGAAACGAAUUUAGGAACUGAUCCAUAUGAUUCUCAUGACAAAUAACUGAGUGUAUGGGCAUGAAUCACUCAAAUAAAUGCAUCAUGAGUUAGGACAUUUAAGUAUUUUUUGCUUGUGUGGGUCAAAAUUAGGUAUUUGAUGUAUGAUGAUGAUGCAGGACUCAUGCAUCAAAGUGUCAUGCUUUAUCUCAUAAAAGAUUGGGAAGCAUGCAACUCAUAAACUCAAAGAUGAUGCGAUCUUUACGAAUGAGUACAUAGAUAUUUCUAUGCAAACAAUAUUAGAUAUUUCUAUGCAAACAAUAUAUUUAUUUUCCACAUUGACCAUACAUA